GGGCCCGCACAAGCAGUGGAGUAUGUGGUUUAAUUCGAAGCAACGCGAAGAACCUUACCAAGGCUUGACAUCCUACUUACGAAGUAGAGAUACAUUAGGUGCCCUUCGGGGAAAGUAGAGACAGGUGGUGCAUGGUUGUCGUCAGCUCGUGUCGUGAGAUGUUGGGUUAAGUCCCGCAACGAGCGCAACCCCUAUUGUUAGUUGCUACGAAAGAGCACUCUAGCGAGACUGCCGUUGACAAAACGGAGGAAGGUGGGGACGACGUCAAAUCAUCAUGCCCUUUAUGUCUUGGGCUACACACGUACUACAAUGGCGGUCAACAAAGCGAGGCAAAACAGUGAUGUGGAGCAAAAUCGCAAAAAGCCGUCUCAGUUCGGAUCGCAGGCUGCAAUUCGCCUGCGUGAAGUCGGAAUUGCUAGUAAUCGCGGAUCAGCAUGCCG
RNAcentral lists this ribosomal RNA (440 nucleotides) under uncultured Bacillota bacterium. RNAcentral's name for it is "bacterial SSU rRNA". It matches the Rfam family "Bacterial small subunit ribosomal RNA", at positions 917 to 1359 of the family's 1533-position model. Lineage: Bacteria; Bacillati; Bacillota. The record is from RNAcentral.